Molecule: small RNA, 488 nt
Filed under: Rattus norvegicus (Norway rat)
Lineage: Eukaryota; Metazoa; Chordata; Mammalia; Rodentia; Muridae
Description: uncharacterized LOC102553777
Source: RNAcentral
GGAGGUUGCGGGAGCACAGCCUGCCCUAUGGUUUAUGACUAAUUUGCAGCCAUUUGAGUUCAAAUACUGCUGAGAAGAUCCAAACUGCAAAGAAACACCCUGGAGCACCCUGUUUAUUCCUCUAGCAUCUGAGCACAGCGGGGAGUCUCCUUUCUUCUGCUGGAGAUGAUGUCUAUAUUGGCCAUUACAGAGAGAGGCAUAGACAGGGAAGAAUGCAUUCCUAGCCUCAACACUGGCACCUGCCCUGUCAGCAUUAGUCUGUUAAAGAAGCCCCAUUCUUCACCAAAGCCAAGGCUCUAAAACUGAACUCAGAGUUUCAGCACAGCAGGAUGUGCAGGGUACAUCCUACAUGCUGGAUACAUCCUACCUGCUGUGGUAUACGCUGACAUCCACGUGGGGUAUAACUGGCAAGGGAUUCUUAUCCCCUGGCUUGUAAACUACAUCUGACCCUGAAGAGCUGUCCUUUGUCAGGUAUCUUAGCAUUAGUA